This 497-nucleotide ribosomal RNA is filed under the name uncultured bacterium. RNAcentral describes it as "partial 16S ribosomal RNA". It matches the Rfam family "Bacterial small subunit ribosomal RNA", at positions 28 to 507 of the family's 1533-position model. The record is from RNAcentral.
GAUGAACGCUGGCGGCGUGCCUAAUACAUGCAAGUCGAGCGAACAGACGAGGAGCUUGCUCCCCUGACGUUAGCGGCGGACGGGUGAGUAACGCGUGGAUAACCUACCUAUAAGACUGGGAUAACUUCGGGAAACCGGAGCUAAUACCGGAUAAUAUAUUGAACCGCAUGGUUCAAUAGUGAAAGACGGUUUUGCUGUCACUUAUAGAUGGAUCCGCGCCGCAUUAGCUAGUUGGUAAGGUAACGGCUUACCAAGGCAACGAUGCGUAGCCGACCUGAGAGGGUGAUCGGCCACACUGGAACUGAGACACGGUCCAGACUCCUACGGGAGGCAGCAGUAGGGAAUCUUCCGCAAUGGGCGAAAGCCUGACGGAGCAACGCCGCGUGAGUGAUGAAGGUCUUCGGAUCGUAAAACUCUGUUAUUAGGGAAGAACAAAUGUGUAAGUAACUAUGCACGUCUUGACGGUACCUAAUCAGAAAGCCACGGCUAACUACGUG